Molecule: long non-coding RNA, 736 nt
Filed under: Cicer arietinum (chickpea)
Lineage: Eukaryota; Viridiplantae; Streptophyta; Magnoliopsida; Fabales; Fabaceae
Description: long non-coding RNA (CARI_LNC000991)
Source: RNAcentral
UGAUCUUGCAUUAGGUUCCAGCGAGAUGUCUUUCACCUAUGUGGGCACCCCUUUGUUAAGCCUAUAAUUAGUCCCUUGUAGCACAUUUUUCUUCUUUUAUUUAUGUUUAUAAGACAAAUAAACUACUCAAUCUAUUAAAAAUAAUGUAUGUGUGUCGGGACCGAUACAUAGUUGGGUGACCAAACACCGUCUUAAAAUUUUGACAACUCUAAACUUAUAAUAAAGAUUUAACUCAUUCAAAAUAAAACUUAUCUCAUAUAUAUUCUUUCUCUAUGUAUAUAUAAAAGAAAGUUUGGCCUAAUGAACCCGUUUUUAUUUAAUAUUAUUAUAAUUGAACACUUGAAUUGCUUAUAAGUUGUUACUUUAGAAUAGGAAAAUGGUAAAAUAAAAAUAAAUGUAGUAGGAAGAGCCAUGGGAAGGUCUAGGAUGGUUGGCAAUAAACAACGGUAGAAAGGGAAAGUAAGUGGGGUCACAGGGACAAGGUAAAGUGACCUUAACUAGAGGCCAAAAUUUGAACAUGUCAACAUCCACACAUUACAUGUGACGUGAAAUUGAUUGAAACACUAUUAGUAUUGUUAUUGUUAUUGGUGCGCGGCGUGCCUGGUGGACUGGUUGUUGUGGCUUGGCCCGGGUGCACUUCGCCCACCCAACUGCAUGUGCACAUACUGUUUUCAAUAGCCAAACCACCAAGCUCAGGGUUCUCUAUCGGCUUCGCUCGGCUUAGGUGAUACUACCC